Molecule: ribosomal RNA, 1096 nt
Filed under: Vibrio breoganii ZF-55
Lineage: Bacteria; Pseudomonadati; Pseudomonadota; Gammaproteobacteria; Vibrionales; Vibrionaceae
Description: bacterial SSU rRNA
Rfam family: Bacterial small subunit ribosomal RNA
Source: RNAcentral
UUGAAGUUAAUAGCUUCAUCGUUUGACGUUAGCGACAGAAGAAGCACCGGCUAACUCCGUGCCAGCAGCCGCGGUAAUACGGAGGGUGCGAGCGUUAAUCGGAAUUACUGGGCGUAAAGCGCAUGCAGGUGGUUUGUUAAGUCAGAUGUGAAAGCCCGGGGCUCAACCUCGGAACCGCAUUUGAAACUGGCAGGCUAGAGUACUGUAGAGGGGGGUAGAAUUUCAGGUGUAGCGGUGAAAUGCGUAGAGAUCUGAAGGAAUACCAGUGGCGAAGGCGGCCCCCUGGACAGAUACUGACACUCAGAUGCGAAAGCGUGGGGAGCAAACAGGAUUAGAUACCCUGGUAGUCCACGCCGUAAACGAUGUCUACUUGGAGGUUGUGGCCUUGAGCCGUGGCUUUCGGAGCUAACGCGUUAAGUAGACCGCCUGGGGAGUACGGUCGCAAGAUUAAAACUCAAAUGAAUUGACGGGGGCCCGCACAAGCGGUGGAGCAUGUGGUUUAAUUCGAUGCAACGCGAAGAACCUUACCUACUCUUGACAUCCAGAGAACUUAGCAGAGAUGCUUUGGUGCCUUCGGGAACUCUGAGACAGGUGCUGCAUGGCUGUCGUCAGCUCGUGUUGUGAAAUGUUGGGUUAAGUCCCGCAACGAGCGCAACCCUUAUCCUUGUUUGCCAGCACGUAAUGGUGGGAACUCCAGGGAGACUGCCGGUGAUAAACCGGAGGAAGGUGGGGACGACGUCAAGUCAUCAUGGCCCUUACGAGUAGGGCUACACACGUGCUACAAUGGCGCAUACAGAGGGCAGCCAACCAGCGAUGGUGAGCGAAUCCCAAAAAGUGCGUCGUAGUCCGGAUUGGAGUCUGCAACUCGACUCCAUGAAGUCGGAAUCGCUAGUAAUCGUGAAUCAGAAUGUCACGGUGAAUACGUUCCCGGGCCUUGUACACACCGCCCGUCACACCAUGGGAGUGGGCUGCAAAAGAAGUGGGUAGUUUAACCUUCGGGAGGACGCUCACCACUUUGUGGUUCAUGACUGGGGUGAAGUCGUAACAAGGUAGCCCUAGGGGAACCUGGGGCUGGAUCACCUCCUUAUACGAUGAU